This is a long non-coding RNA of Pipra filicauda (Wire-tailed manakin), 1906 nucleotides long. RefSeq lists it as uncharacterized. NCBI's taxonomy places the organism in Eukaryota, Metazoa, Chordata, Aves, Passeriformes, Pipridae. The transcript has 2 exons. The record is from RefSeq and is a predicted model, not a curated record.
CGGGCGGUUUCGAGGCCCCCCCGCGCACAGCUCGGAGCGCCCCGGGCCGAGAGAGCGAUCAAAGAGCGGCGAGAGGGGAGCGCACGGGCCGGGCUCCCGCAGAUUACGGUGGGUGAUUCAUCACAGGGGACGGCAGUCGAGUCAGGAGGGAGCGGCCGGGGGCCCACAGGGACAGAGCCGAGCACACUGGGACGCACGGACACGGCGCGGGGACAGACAGAUGGACAAGGACAGCCGGGAACAGGCGGCUGCACCGCGGGGCACGGCCCAGCACAGGCGCUGGUGCAGCGGGACGUGCAGCUGCAGCACAGAGCCGUGCCCAGGGACACACCGAGGGACACGCUGACACGCACACCGAAGGACACGGGAUCACACCGGCAGCUCGGAGGCACAGCCUCCUUAUCCUCUUCCAUGGCCACCGUGUGAAGGCCGGUUGGAUCCCUCUCCGUGUGGGAAAGGCCAGGAAAAAGCCGUUAUGGAUUAUCCCAGUGUGUGGAGUCGGUGCUGGAGGGGAGCACGGUGCAGAUCCCAGCGUCGGGGCUCCGCGGCGUUUGGCUGCCGGGGGUCCCGGAGCGCUGGGGAAGAGUUCCCUGACUGAAAAAGAAAACUGAAAAAGCCAAAAAAAGCGGCUGUGAGGCUCUUCCUUCCCCAGUGACGGCAGCGGGAGGGGGAAGGAUCCGGGGGAACCUCCCAUGCUGGGUGUGGGAAGGGGCUGAGUCAGGGGGCUGUGGAGCACCAAGCCCAUGUCCCUGGGCACGGUGGGCAGACCCCCAGGGGGAACACUCCCCACAUGGCAAACCCCCUGCUGUGGGCGGCCUCCCUCCCUGGGCAGACCACCCUCUGUGAGUUGGCAUCCCCAGAGGCACGGCCCCCUCUGCCUGUGGGCAGACCCACUCUUGGGGGUGCAUUCCCUCUGAGCAGCCGCCCCAGUGGGUAGGCAGACCCCCUGCUGUGGUUGUACAUCCCACACGAGCAGCUCCCCCAGCCCGGGGGUACAACUCCACUGUGCCGAGGUUGAUCAGUGAAGUGAGCCCAAAUGAGUGCAAUUAAAGUCAAUUUAAUGAGGACCCCCCCACAUCCACCCCCCAGCCCUGCAGCUGCCUUUGUCCGCUGCUGCUGCUGAACACACGGUGUCUGUCCCACCCCCCCACUGGGCCUGUACCACUGCAGAGCCCCUGAGCACGGGGGGCAGUGGCUGAGGCCAAGGCCUGUCCCUGCCCUGGGGACUGACUGGGAUGUGUUUGGGGGUGCAGCAAGGAGGCUGCAGCCCCAGCAGUGUCCCCCCUCCUCAGCUGUUCUCCCGAGCUUCAUCCUCCUGGGAGCUGCCAAGCCCCCUCGGAAGAAAGAGGAGGCUGGAGGAUCCCCCAACACUCCUUGGGUGGGAGCUGGAGCAACCCCUGGCUCUGCCUGGACCCCCAGCACUGCUGCAGCGGGACCCCCUGGCUGGUGUGACCCACUGCCGUCCUCCAAGGCUCAUCCCAGGGCUCUGCAUGGCACGGAACAGCAGGUAUGGCUCCCAGGAUAGGCAGUUUUCCAGCUGGCUGUGGCAUUCCCGGCGCGUCUCAAGGCCGUCUGCGUCCAAGGGUCGUGUUUGUGGUGCAGAGGGACGAGGUGGCUCAGCACCACUGUCCCCUCUGCUCCCAGCUCAGGGCCCUCGCCCCCUGCCCGGCGCUCCCCGGGGCUGGUGGGCAGCGGGGGGCACAGAGCCACAGCCGCUCGGGGGUCCGAGGAAAAAGGAAGGAACUUAACUCCCAUUAACCAUCCCAUUGUACUGGCCGUGGGAAUAAUCGGGUUUGCUAAUGCAAUUGCUGCCGCGAUGCGAAAAUCCGACUGGAAAAUGUAUUAGAGCAAUUAUCCGCCUCCCUCCGCAGCCGGCGGAGCAUUAAUAUUCAAUUUUGAUGUGGAA